This 253-nucleotide ribosomal RNA is filed under the name uncultured bacterium. Its description in RNAcentral is "partial 16S ribosomal RNA". It matches the Rfam family "Bacterial small subunit ribosomal RNA", at positions 524 to 776 of the family's 1533-position model. The record is from RNAcentral.
GACGGAGGAUGCAAGUGUUAUCCGGAAUCACUGGGCGUAAAGCGUCUGUAGGUAGUUCAACAAGUCAACUGUUAAAUCUUGAGGCUCAACUUCAAAAUCGCAGUCGAAACUAUUGAAAUAGAGUAUAGUAGAGGUAAAAGGAAUUUCCAGUGGAGCGGUGAAAUGCGUAGAUAUUGGAAAGAACACCGAUGGCGAAAGCAUUUUACUGGGCUACUACUGACACUGAGAGACGAAAGCUAGGGUAGCAAAUGGG